UACGGGAGGCAGCAGUGAGGAAUAUUGGUCAAUGGGCGAGAGCCUGAACCAGCCAAGUAGCGUGCAGGAUGACGGCCCUAUGGGUUGUAAACUGAGUUUUGCCGGGGAAUAAAGUGCAGUACGUGUACUGUUUUGUAUGUACCCGGAGAAUAAGGACCGGCUAAUUCCGUGCCAGCAGCCGCGGUAAU
Molecule: ribosomal RNA, 188 nt
Filed under: uncultured rumen bacterium
Lineage: Bacteria
Description: partial 16S ribosomal RNA
Rfam family: Bacterial small subunit ribosomal RNA
Source: RNAcentral